RNAcentral lists this ribosomal RNA (403 nucleotides) under Verrucomicrobiota bacterium. RNAcentral describes it as "Verrucomicrobia bacterium partial 16S ribosomal RNA". It matches the Rfam family "Bacterial small subunit ribosomal RNA", at positions 355 to 776 of the family's 1533-position model. Lineage: Bacteria; Pseudomonadati; Verrucomicrobiota. The record is from RNAcentral.
UGGGGAAUAUUGCACAAUGGGCGCAAGCCUGAUGCAGCAACGCCGCGUGAACGAUGAAGGUCUUCGGAUCGUAAAGUUCUGUUGCAGGGGAAGAUAAUGACGGUACCCUGUGAGGAAGCCCCGGCUAACUACGUGCCAGCAGCCGCGGUAAUACGUAGGGGGCUAGCGUUAUCCGGAUUUACUGGGCGUAAAGGGUGCGUAGGUGGUCCUUCAAGUCGGUGGUUAAAGGCUACGGCUCAACCGUAGUAAGCCGCCGAAACUGGAGGACUUGAGUGCAGGAGAGGAAAGUGGAAUUCCCAGUGUAGCGGUGAAAUGCGUAGAUAUUGGGAGGAACACCAGUAGCGAAGGCGGCUUUCUGGACUGCAACUGACACUGGGGCACGAAAGCGUGGGUAGCAAACAGG